GAAGCGGCAAAAGCUCAAAUUUGAAAUCUGGCACCUUCGGUGUCCGAGUUGUAAUUUGAAGAUUGUAACCUUGGGGUUGGCUCUUGUCUAUGUUUCUUGGAACAGGACGUCACAGAGGGUGAGAAUCCCGUGCGAUGAGAUGCCCAAUCCUAUGUAAGGUGCUUUCGAAGAGUCGAGUUGUUUGGGAAUGCAGCUCUAAGUGGGUGGUAAAUUCCAUCUAAAGCUAAAUAUUGGCGAGAGACCGAUAGCGAACAAGUACAGUGAUGGAAAGAUGAAAAGAACUUUGAAAAGAGAGUGAAAAAGUACGUGAAAUUGUUGAAAGGGAAGGGUUUGAGAUCAGACUCGAUAUUUUGUGAGCCUUGCCUUCGUGGCGGGGUGACCCGCAGCUUAUCGGGCCAGCAUCGGUUUGGGCGGUAGGAUAAUGGCGUAGGAAUGUGACUUUGCUUCGGUGAAGUGUUAUAGCCUGCGUUGAUGCUGCCUGCCUAGACCGAGGACUGCGAUUUUAUCAAGGAUGCUGGCAUAAUGAUCCCAAACCGCCCGUCUUGAAACACGGACCAAAA
Molecule: ribosomal RNA, 560 nt
Filed under: Meyerozyma guilliermondii
Lineage: Eukaryota; Fungi; Ascomycota; Pichiomycetes; Serinales; Debaryomycetaceae
Description: eukaryotic LSU rRNA
Rfam family: Eukaryotic large subunit ribosomal RNA
Source: RNAcentral